UCAAGCUACAAAGGGCGUACGGCGGAUGCCUUGGGACAGAAGGCCGAUGAAGGACGCGGUCAGCGGCGAAACGCUUCGGGGAGCUGCAAACAAGCUUCGAUCCGGAGAUUUCCGAAUGGGGUAACCCGGUCCGAGUAAUGUCGGAUCACCCUUGAUGCCGUGAGGUAUUAAGGGCGGGCACCUGGGGAACUGAAACAUCUUAGUACCCGGAGGAAGAGAAAAUAUCAAUGAUUCUCCUAGUAGUGGCGAGCGAACGGAGAAGAGCCUAAACCUAUAUUGCGUGAUAGCUUACAGGCGUUGCAAUAUGGGGGUAGCGGGAUCUUGCGUGGGAGUGCUGUAACCUCCUUAAAGAGUCAAAAAUCCUGUGUCUAGCCAAACGGUAUGGGAAGGCCGGCCACAGCGGGUGAAAGCCCCGUAGGCGAAAGGCAGAGGACUCUUUGCAAGACACCCAAGUACCACGGGACACGAGAAACCCUGUGGGAAUCCGGCAGGACCACCUGCUAAGGCUAAAUACCUUCUGUCACCGAUAGUGAACUAGUACCGUGAGGGAAAGUUGAAAAGAACCCCGGAAGGGGAGUGAAAUAGAACCUGAAACCGUAUGCCUACAAGCAGUGGGAGCACUAUGCCGUUAGCAAUAACGGAACGUGUGACCGCGUGCCUUUUGCAUAAUGAUCCGGCGAGUUAAUUUGUGUAGCAAGGUUAAGCGCUAAUGGCGCGGAGCCGAAGCGAAAGCGAGUCCUAAUAGGGCGUCUAGUUGCACUGAUUAGACCCGAAACCGAGUGAUCUACCCAUGGCCAGGGUGAAUCCAGGGUAAGACCUGGUGGAGGCCCGAACCAGUGUCGGUUGAAAACGGCUUGGAUGAGCUGUGGGUAGUGGUGAAAUGCUAAUCGAACUCGGAUAUAGCUGGUUCUCCUCGAAAUGCAUUUAGGUGCAGCCUUGCGUAUUCUGUUCUGCAGGUAGAGCACUGGAUAGGCUAGGGGCCUUACCAGGUUACCGAACCUAACCAAACUCCGAAUGGCAGAACAUCAAGCGCAGGAGUGAGACUGCGGGGGAUAAGCUUCGUAGUCGAAAGGGAAACAGCCCAGACCAUCAGCUAAGGUCCCUAAGAGCUGGCUAAGUGUAAAAGGAUGUAGAGUUGCAUAGACAACCAGGAUGUUGGCUUAGAAGCAGCCAUCAUUUAAAGAGUGCGUAACAGCUUACUGGCCGAAUGUGAUUCUGCGCCGAUAAUGUAAGGGGGCUUAAGCCAGCCACCGAAGCUAUGGACUUCAAUGCAUAUUGAAGUGGUAGAGGAGCGUUCCAUGGGGGAUGAAGCCUGAGCGUAAGUACAGGUGGACUGCAUGGAAGUGAGGAUGCCGGAAUAAGUAGCGAAUAGAAAAGUGAGAAUCUUUUCCGCCGAAAACCUAAGGGUUCUUAAGGAAGGAUCGUCCACUUGAGUUUAGUCGGGCCUAAGCCGAGUCCUAGAAAACUAGGGGUAGGCGAUGGACAACUGGUUGAUAUUCCAGUACCAGGUGUACACGUUAUGAGCAAUGGGGAGACGCGGAUGAUGUCUCUAAGCACGGGAUUGGUUGACCGUGUUCUGCUGUAGGGAUUCCGGAUAGGUAAAUCCGUUCGGUACUAAGUUCUGGCAGCAGACGACUGGAGAAGAAAUUCAAAGGGAAGUAGGGAUUGAUUCCGCCUAGAAAAACCUCUAGCCAGUGUGCAUCUGCCCGUACCGCAAACCGACACAGGUAGGUAGGUAGAGAAUACUAAGGCGUGCGAGAUAACUCUCGUUAAGGAACUAGGCAAGUUAACCCCGUAACUUCGGGAGAAGGGGUGCCCUGGUGGAUUGGUGCUGUAACGCAUCUGUUCAUUGGGGUCGCAGUGACAAGGCUCGAGCGACUGUUUACCAAAAACACAGGUCUCUGCUAAGGGGAAACCCUAUGUAUAGGGGCUGACGCCUGCCCAAUGCUAGAAGGUUAACAGGAGGGGUCACCGUAAGGGAAGCUCUGAAUCGAAGCCCUAGUGAAUGGCGGCCGUAACUAUAACGGUCCUAAGGUAGCGAAAUUCCUUGUCGGGUAAG
Molecule: ribosomal RNA, 2059 nt
Filed under: fermentation metagenome
Description: bacterial LSU rRNA
Rfam family: Bacterial large subunit ribosomal RNA
Source: RNAcentral